GCUAACGUAGCUUAAUUAAAGCAUAACAUUGAAGAUGUUAAAAUAGGCCCUAAUAAACCUCGUAAGCG
Molecule: transfer RNA, 68 nt
Filed under: Ophisternon candidum (blind cave eel)
Lineage: Eukaryota; Metazoa; Chordata; Actinopteri; Synbranchiformes; Synbranchidae
Description: tRNA-Phe
Rfam family: tRNA
About the family: Transfer RNA (tRNA) molecules are approximately 80 nucleotides in length. Their secondary structure includes four short double-helical elements and three loops (D, anti-codon, and T loops).
Source: RNAcentral